This 87-nucleotide unclassified non-coding RNA is filed under the name Pseudomonas cedrina. Lineage: Bacteria; Pseudomonadati; Pseudomonadota; Gammaproteobacteria; Pseudomonadales; Pseudomonadaceae. The record is from RNAcentral.
GUGGGAGCUGGCUUGCCUGCGAUUGCGGUGGGUCAGCCAGUUGAAGGGUGACUGACAGAAUGCAAUCGCAGGCAAGCCAGCUCCCAC